CCUUACUACAUGGAUAACCGUGGUAAUUCUAGAGCUAAUACAUGCUAAAAACCCCAACUUUGGAAGGGGUGUAUUUAUUAGAUUAAAAACCAAUGCCCUUUGGGGCUCCCUGGUGAUUCAUAAUAACUUCUCGAAUCGCACGGCCUUGCGCCGGCGAUGGUUCAUUCAAAUUUCUGCCCUAUCAACUUUCGACGGCAGGGUCUUGGCCUGCCAUGGUGACAACGGGUAACGGAGGGUUAGGGCUCGACCCCGGAGAAGGAGCCUGAGAAACGGCUACUACAUCCAAGGAAGGCAGCAGGCGCGCAAAUUACCCAAUCCCGACUCGGGGAGGUAGUGACAAUAAAUACUGAUACAGGGCUCUUUUGGGUCUUGUAAUUGGAAUGAGUACAAUUUAAAUCCCUUAACGAGGAACAAUUGGAGGGCAAGUCUGGUAAUCG
RNAcentral lists this ribosomal RNA (437 nucleotides) under uncultured eukaryote. Its description in RNAcentral is "SSU rRNA". It matches the Rfam family "Eukaryotic small subunit ribosomal RNA", at positions 130 to 570 of the family's 1831-position model. The record is from RNAcentral.